RNAcentral lists this unclassified non-coding RNA (605 nucleotides) under Aspergillus turcosus. RNAcentral's name for it is "sequence contains 18S rRNA gene, ITS1, 5.8S rRNA gene, ITS2, 28S rRNA gene". The stretch from base 233 to 386 matches the Rfam family "5.8S ribosomal RNA". Lineage: Eukaryota; Fungi; Ascomycota; Eurotiomycetes; Eurotiales; Aspergillaceae. The record is from RNAcentral.
UCGUAACAAGGUUUCCGUAGGUGAACCUGCGGAAGGAUCAUUACCGAGUGCGGGCCCUCUGGGUCCAACCUCCCACCCGUGUCUAUUGUACCUUGUUGCUUCGGCGGGCCCGCCGUUCUCGAACGGCCGCCGGGGAGGCCCUCGCGCCCCCGGGCCCGCGCCCGCCGAAGACCCCAACAUGAACGCUGUUCUGAAAGUAUGCAGUCUGAGUUUGAUUACCAUAAUCAGUUAAAACUUUCAACAACGGAUCUCUUGGUUCCGGCAUCGAUGAAGAACGCAGCGAAAUGCGAUAAGUAAUGUGAAUUGCAGAAUUCAGUGAAUCAUCGAGUCUUUGAACGCACAUUGCGCCCCCUGGUAUUCCGGGGGGCAUGCCUGUCCGAGCGUCAUUGCUGCCCUCAAGCACGGCUUGUGUGUUGGGCCCCCGUCCCCGGUUCUCCCCGGGGACGGGCCCGAAAGGCAGCGGCGGCACCGCGUCCGGUCCUCGAGCGUAUGGGGCUUUGUCACCCGCUCUGUAGGCCUGGCCGGCGCCAGCCGACCCCCCAACUUUAUUUUUCUAAGGUUGACCUCGGAUCAGGUAGGGAUACCCGCUGAACUUAAGCAUAUCA